AUACGUAGGGUGCGAGCGUUGUCCGGAAUUACUGGGCGUAAAGAGCUCGUAGGUGGUUUGUCGCGUCGUCUGUGAAAUUCCGGGGCUUAACUCCGGGCGUGCAGGCGAUACGGGCAUAACUUGAGUACUGUAGGGGAGACUGGAAUUCCUGGUGUAGCGGUGAAAUGCGCAGAUAUCAGGAGGAACACCGGUGGCGAAGGCGGGUCCCUGGGCAGUAACUGACGCUGAGGAGCGAAAGCAUGGGUAGCGAACAGGAUUAGAUACCCUGGUAGUCCAUGCCGUAAACGGUGGGCGCUAGGUGUAGGGGUCUUCCACGACUUCUGUGCCGUAGCUAACGCAUUAAGCGCCCCGCCUGGGGAGUACGGCCGCAAGACUAAAACUCAAAUGAAUUGACGGGG
RNAcentral lists this ribosomal RNA (398 nucleotides) under uncultured bacterium. RNAcentral describes it as "partial 16S ribosomal RNA". It matches the Rfam family "Bacterial small subunit ribosomal RNA", at positions 523 to 918 of the family's 1533-position model. The record is from RNAcentral.